AUUGAACGCUGGCGGCAGGCCUAACACAUGCAAGUCGAACGAGUGGCGGACGGGUGAGUAAUGUAUGGGAAACUGCCUGGUGGAGGGGGAUAACUGCUGGAAACGGUAGCUAAUACCGCAUACCAUCCGAGCUGCCCAGAUGGGAUUAGCUGGUUGGCGGGGUAAAGGCUCACCAAGGCGACGAUCCCUAGCGGGUCUGAGAGGAUGACCCGCCACACGGGAACUGAGACACGGCCCAGACUCCUACGGGAGGCAGCAGUGGGGAAUAUUGCACAAUGGGCGCAAGCCUGAUGCAGCCAUGCCGCGUGUAUGAAGAAGGCCUUCGGGUUGUAAAGUACUUUCAUCGGGGAGGCGGUACCCGAAGAAGAAGCACCGGCUAACUCCGUGCCAGCAGCCGCGGUAAUUC
This 406-nucleotide ribosomal RNA is filed under the name uncultured bacterium. RNAcentral's name for it is "partial 16S ribosomal RNA". It matches the Rfam family "Bacterial small subunit ribosomal RNA", at positions 29 to 526 of the family's 1533-position model. The record is from RNAcentral.